AUAGCAGUAAAGUUGUCCAUGCCCAAGAGUUUGAUGUUUCAGUAACAAUGUUGAAUAUUGCAAUCAUUCUCUACCAUAUCCAUGAGUAUGCAUAGUCAUUAUCUGUUCUCAAAAAGCUGUUCCAGAAUAUCGAGCCAAUUGAAGAGCAAAUAGCUCUCCGUGUAUGCCUUCUUCUACUGGAUGUUGCAUUAGCUUGUGAAGAUAUUUUACAAGUCUAAG
This is a long non-coding RNA of Zingiber officinale, 219 nucleotides long. RefSeq lists it as uncharacterized. Lineage: Eukaryota; Viridiplantae; Streptophyta; Magnoliopsida; Zingiberales; Zingiberaceae. The transcript is spliced from 3 exons. The record is from RefSeq and is a predicted model, not a curated record.